GAGUUUGAUCCUGGCUCAGAACGAACGCUGGCGGCAUGCCUAACACAUGCAAGUCGAACGAGACCUUCGGGUCUAGUGGCGCACGGGUGCGUAACGCGUGGGAAUCUGCCCUUGGGUUCGGAAUAACUCAGAGAAAUUUGAGCUAAUACCGGAUGAUGUCGUAAGACCAAAGAUUUAUCGCCCAGGGAUGAGCCCGCGUAGGAUUAGCUAGUUGGUGAGGUAAAAGCUCACCAAGGCGACGAUCCUUAGCUGGUCUGAGAGGAUGAUCAGCCACACUGGGACUGAGACACGGCCCAGACUCCUACGGGAGGCAGCAGUGGGGAAUAUUGGACAAUGGGCGAAAGCCUGAUCCAGCAAUGCCGCGUGAGUGAUGAAGGCCCUAGGGUUGUAAAGCUCUUUUACCCGGGAUGAUAAUGACAGUACCGGGAGAAUAAGCUCCGGCUAACUCCGUGCCAGCAGCCGCAGUAAU
RNAcentral lists this ribosomal RNA (469 nucleotides) under uncultured Alphaproteobacteria bacterium. RNAcentral describes it as "bacterial SSU rRNA". It matches the Rfam family "Bacterial small subunit ribosomal RNA", at positions 9 to 524 of the family's 1533-position model. The record is from RNAcentral. Lineage: Bacteria; Pseudomonadati; Pseudomonadota; Alphaproteobacteria.